Nymphaea colorata (pocket water lily) is the source of this 2501-nucleotide RNA transcript. It is a transcript of the gene named serine/arginine-rich splicing factor SC35-like, with no coding region annotated. The record is from RefSeq and is a predicted model, not a curated record. The transcript has 10 exons. NCBI's taxonomy places the organism in Eukaryota, Viridiplantae, Streptophyta, Magnoliopsida, Nymphaeales, Nymphaeaceae.
GCAUGGAUUUCGUCUUCAUCUCAGAUUUCAAAUCUGAGGUUUUGAAAUCCGACGUUUGCUAAAAUCGUAGAUCCCACCUUGAAAUCCAGCGUCGGAUCUGAGAUCCGAGACUGCCAAACACGGGCUCGAAUAAUUUUUACUUCGUUUUUUUGAAUCGCAUACCUUUUUGGGGAAGAGAAAGGGUCGCCGGGUCUGGAACAGCAUGAGCUUUUUCGGAUCAAUUAAAACCUAAAGCUCAGGCCCGAACAUGGACCCGGACCGAAUUUGAAAGGAAAAUGGAAAGGAGGGGCAGAAGAAAAAGAGGGAAGAAAACGAGGGUUCGAGAUCGGACCACAAAAUAAAAGGAGGGAAGAGUUCUUGUACCCCAUUUUCUCUCUCUCUCUACCGCCAGAAGGAGGAGGAGGAAGCAAGGAGAAAGGGGAUGUCGCAUUUCGGGAGAUCAGGACCCCCAGAUAUCAGGGAUACAUACUCCCUUCUGGUUCUCAACAUUACCUUCAGGACGACGGCUGAUGACCUCUUUCCCUUGUUCGACCGCUACGGCAAGGUCGUCGACAUCUUUAUCCCAAGGGACAAGCGGACGGGGGAAUCGCGAGGGUUUGCGUUUGUUCGAUACAAAUAUGCAGAUGAGGCGCAAAUGGCGGUAGACCGGCUUGAUGGAAGGACCGUGGACGGCAGGGAAAUCAUGGUGCAGUUCGCGAAAUAUGGCCCCAAUGCUGAGCGGAUACAUAAGGGGAGGAUUGUUGAGUUUUUUCCAAAAUCAAGAGGCAGAUCUAGAAGCCACAGCCCUAGGCCCAGGUACCGUGAUGACUACCGCGACAAGGAUUAUAAGAAGCGAAGUCGUAGCCGCAGUAUUGAAAGAUCUGAUCGCCAUCGGGACCGUGGAAAGGAACGGAGCUCUCGUCACCGAAGCAAGAGCCGGAGCUUGAGCCCUGAUUAUCGCAGAGGGCGGGAUAGGCGAAGGGCAUCUGAUGAGCCAAGGAGCCGAAGUGGCUCUUAUGCUAGUCCUCGUAGAAGCCCAAGCCCUCGAAGAAGCCCGAGCCCUCGAAGAAGCCCGAGCCCUCGAAGAAGUCCAAAUCCUCGAAGAAGUCCAUCUCGUAGCAAGAGCCCUCCCAGCAGAAAUGAAAGCCCGUCCAAGAGAAGUCCUGAUAACAGGUCCCCGCCAGACAGUCCUGCUGGAAGAAGAAGUCCACAUGAAAGGUCCCCAGGAUCGGACUAUUGAGCACAAUGAGCAGCUAUGGGCCUGAGAAACUUGCCUGAUGCCUCAGUGUACUGGUUGUUGAAUCAGUGGUUUCUGUAUCUGCUGUCACUUUUAUGUCUGUCGAUGUUGUCAGCAGUGUACUUGAUCCGGAGCAAGUAGCUUGGUUUCUUUACUUUUGGGACUUCUCGUAGAGUAACAAGUUUUGCGAUAAGACUCUAGAUUUUAUGACUACUCGGUGCUUAUGAACCAUCAGAAACAUUGCAGUUCGGGAUUUGGAAAUAUUUGUAGAUUGAAAGUACUUUAGUUCGUAACUUCUUGUUCUGAUCAGCUGUUAGGAUAUGUUCGUGAGGGGUCGUUUACCUUGAUAGUGAUAUGGUCGUGAAAAGCAUGAUUGUAGCUGUGAUGAUCAAGAUUGCAGCAAGUGAGAUUAUGUGCUCGCUGUUUGAUGAUUUCUAGCUGAUAGUGCUGAUGCUGGAUAAGCAGCUGAUGUUCUUUUUGACAGCACUGAUCACACUAUUUAGUAAGCUGGACUCACCAUCUAGAUGUGUGAGUUUAAUGUUGACUUUGAGCUAAGGUACUCUAAUUCAUUAGUCAAAAUCAUGUUUCCUUGGUUUCUGCUUCUUUGUAGCAGUCCACCAUGUAGCUGUCCCUCAAUGCUUUUGUUGGGCUGAGGAUGAUUUUCACAAGUAUGCAAAAUCGGUAGUUAUGUUUCUGAAUGGCCAAAUUGCAUGGAAAGUGGCAUAUAUUCAUUAUGCCUGUGGAUGACUGGAACAAUGGGACCUGUGCAAUUCUCAUGAUGGUCAAAAAUUUUGAGUUGUGAAGGUCAUUGCCUAAUGUUGCUGAGGUUGAAAAAACAUGUGAGUGGCAGAUGGUGAGAAAGUUGAUGACCUGUUGAACUACUCCUUUGUUGCUGGAUCGGGUCUCAUCUUGCACCAGGGUCUAUAAUUUUUGUGCUUCUGAGUGGACUUAUAGCAGUUCCUGAGGACUGCCUGCAGGCUUUUGGUGCAAUCUUGUGUGCUGCUGCUCCAUUCUGUUCCAUCUUCCCGUUUAUAUUAUUAUUUUCUAUAGGUUCGUGGUUUAGAAGGCUCCUGCAAGCUGUGCAUGGUUAUGAAUUGCCUGUAUAUGCAAUGUAUCUCAUGGUGGCUGUUUUCUAUAUACAUCAUAAAUCAUCUUUCAUUUUCAUAAAGUGUGGAGAAUGUGAAAGAUGACUUUUUUUUUUUAUAUAUGGUGGCUGUUUUCUAUAUACAUCAUAAAUCAUCUUUCAUCCUCAUAAAGUGUGGAGAAUGUAAAGAUGACCUUUCUA